UUUAUAGAUAAACUUAACUUUGUAAAUAGACAAAAACAUCUCCAAUCCCCCUUAGGAAACACCCAACAAGCCAUUAUGGCUUUCUUGGGCCUUAUGGACUUCCUUUUUGGUCUAGACAAACAUCCCAACUUAUGCCUCCAUCCUGAUUUUCUUCAAUGCAAACAGGCUUAGUUCUUUAUUAUAAUUCCAGCCUAUAACCUUGAAUUUCAUGUAUAUUCCAUGUUUUAGUUCUUCAAAUAGUAUUUCACAAUUCCAAUGAACUGGCUUCAAAAUUUCAGACUUAGUGAGAAUUGUUGACCCCCUUGUAACAUAAAAUUUUUGUUUUUCAUGACUAUAGUGGGAAAAAACAAGAAGGUGGUUAGUAAAUACCUGGUUGGGGACAUUUAUAUUAUUGUGGUUGUCAUGGUAGACGAGAACUUUAUAUAGGGAAUAUGCAAUUUAAGUUUAGUGCUCGUCUUAGGUUGACAUGAAAGGCAAAGGUUGGCAGUAAAAGACAAAGGGGUGAGGUUGGCAGCCUUACAGUAAUCACUCCGACAUUCAAGUUCGUAUAGAAUUGUUGAGAGAGUUCUUGUGCAAUUGAGAGUUUAGUACUUGUGUUGUCUGGCUAUAUAUGUAGGCUAAUAAUGACCCAUUGAAGCUGUUAGCCAGAUCUCAUGAUAAUCGAUGUCUCAACCUUUGGUGAGUAAUUGCUUAUCCACCGUUGUUGUCUGAGCCAUAUCCAUUUUGAGGCAUUAUGUAUUCUAUCAGAGCCGAGCUAUUGAUCACUCAUACUUCCAUUCCGAGCUAUGAAAUGCCGAGUCAUAUGUCUUAGUUAUCAAAUGACUGUUUGACUGAACCAAGUGACUUUUUGACCAAGCCAUUUGACUCUG
Molecule: unclassified non-coding RNA, 869 nt
Filed under: Hevea brasiliensis (rubber tree)
Lineage: Eukaryota; Viridiplantae; Streptophyta; Magnoliopsida; Malpighiales; Euphorbiaceae
Source: RNAcentral